This 598-nucleotide ribosomal RNA is filed under the name Chaetomium globosum. RNAcentral's name for it is "eukaryotic LSU rRNA". The stretch from base 230 to 383 matches the Rfam family "5.8S ribosomal RNA". RNAcentral also lists the same sequence under 1 other name. Lineage: Eukaryota; Fungi; Ascomycota; Sordariomycetes; Sordariales; Chaetomiaceae. The record is from RNAcentral.
GGAAGUAAAAGUCGUAACAAGGUCUCCGUUGGUGAACCAGCGGAGGGAUCAUUACAGAGUUGCAAAACUCCCUAAACCAUUGUGAACGUUACCUAAACCGUUGCUUCGGCGGGCGGCCCCGGGGUUUACCCCCCGGGCGCCCCUGGGCCCCACCGCGGGCGCCCGCCGGAGGUCACCAAACUCUUGAUAAUUUAUGGCCUCUCUGAGUCUUCUGUACUGAAUAAGUCAAAACUUUCAACAACGGAUCUCUUGGUUCUGGCAUCGAUGAAGAACGCAGCGAAAUGCGAUAAGUAAUGUGAAUUGCAGAAUUCAGUGAAUCAUCGAAUCUUUGAACGCACAUUGCGCCCGCCAGUAUUCUGGCGGGCAUGCCUGUUCGAGCGUCAUUUCAACCAUCAAGCCCCGGGCUUGUGUUGGGGACCUGCGGCUGCCGCAGGCCCUGAAAAGCAGUGGCGGGCUCGCUGUCACACCGAGCGUAGUAGCAUACAUCUCGCUCUGGGCGUGCUGCGGGUUCCGGCCGUUAAACCACCUUUUAACCCAAGGUUGACCUCGGAUCAGGUAGGAAGACCCGCUGAACUUAAGCAUAUCAAUAAGCGGAGGA